GAUGAACGCUGGCGGCGUGCCUAAUACAUGCAAGUCGAGCGAACAGACGAGGAGCUUGCUUCUCUGACGUUAGCGGCGGACGGGUGAGUAACACGUGGAUAACCUACCUAUAAGACUGGGAUAACUUCGGGAAACCGGAGCUAAUACCGGAUAAUAUAUUGAGCCGCAUGGUUCAAUAGUGAAAGACGGUUUUGCUGUCACUUAUAGAUGGAUCCGCGCCGCAUUAGCUAGUUGGUAAGGUAACGGCUUACCAAGGCAACGAUGCGUAGCCGACCUGAGAGGGUGAUCGGCCACACUGGAACUGAGACACGGUCCAGACUCCUACGGGAGGCAGCAGUAGGGAAUCUUCCGCAAUGGGCGAAAGCCUGACGGAGCAACGCCGCGUGAGUGAUGAAGGUCUUCGGAUCGUAAAACUCUGUUAUUAGGGAAGAACAAAUGUGUAAGUAACUAUGCACGUCUUGACGGUACCUAAUCAGAAAGCCACGGCUAACUACGUG
Molecule: ribosomal RNA, 497 nt
Filed under: uncultured bacterium
Lineage: Bacteria
Description: partial 16S ribosomal RNA
Rfam family: Bacterial small subunit ribosomal RNA
Source: RNAcentral